AUGCCGCCCCGUCCCCCGCUCCGCUCGCCUCCGAGCGGCGGCCCUUACACCACCGCGCCGCCGUCGCCGCCGCGCGCGGCCGAGCAGCACUGCCUGCGCCUCCUGGAGCGCGCCACGACGCCGGCGUCGCUCCUCCAGCCCCUCGCAUUCCUCCUCAAGCACGGUCUCCACUCCAACCCGCUGGUCCUCACCAGGCUCUUCUCGGCCGCGGGCUCCGCCGCGCCCGCGCUCCUCGAGCCCCUCGUCGCGGCGCUCCUCCGCCCGGGCCUCCCGCUCGACGCCUUCCUCCUCAACACCCUCAUCCGCGCGCACGUCGCGUCCCCGCUCCCCUCCGCGCGCCGCCGCGCCGCGGCCUUCUUCCCGCUCAUGCUCCGCCGCGGCGUCGCCCCCAACAAGUUCACCUUCCCGUUCCUCCUCAAGUCCUGCGCCGCGAUGCCGGGGUCCCCGGCCGCCGGUCUCCAGGCCCACGCCGCCGCCCUCAAGUUCGGCUUCGCCGCCGACCACUACGUCUCCAACACGCUCAUACACAUGUACUCCUGCUUCGGGGCCGGGUUCCUCGGGGACGCGCGGAACGUGUUCGACAGAACGCCCAAGGACAGCGCUGUCACCUGGAGCGCGAUGAUCGGCGGGUACGUGCGUGGGGGGCUGUCGAGUGAUGCUGUCAUGCUGUUCCGGGAGAUGCAGGCCAGCGGAGUGUGGCCGGAUGAGGUGACAGUCCUCGGGGUCCUUUCGGCCGCCGCUGAUUUGGGUGCACUCGAGCUCACGCGGUGGGUUGAGCGGUUUGUGGCGAGGGAGGGAAUUGGGAGGUCUGUGACGCUCUGCAAUGCGCUGAUCGACACGCUCGCCAAGUGCGGGGAUGUCGAUGGGGCAGUGGCUGUGUUCGAGGGGAUGGAGGAGCGGACUGUUGUGUCAUGGACGUCGGUGAUUGAUGCACUUGCAAUGGAGGGCCGUGGGAAAGAGGCUGUGGCUGUGUUCGAAGAAAUGAAGGCUGUUGGCGUGCCACCUGAUGAUGUCGCAUUCAUCGGGGUGCUCACUGCAUGUAGCCAUGCUGGAAUGGUUGAUGAAGGCCGUGGCUACUUUGACUCAAUGAAGACAGAGCAUGGUAUUGAGCCUAAGAUCGAGCAUUAUGGUUGUAUGGUCGACAUGUUUGGCCGUGCCGGCAUGGUUGAGCAAGGGUUGGACUUUGUUCGCGCGAUGCCCAUGAAACCAAACCCAAUAAUUUGGCGGACUCUGGUUGCUGCUUGUCGUGCUCAUGGCCGGCUCGAGCUCGGUGAAAGCAUUAGCAGGGACCUUCUUAAAGAGUACCCUGCUCAUGAGGCCAACUACGUCAUGCUCUCCAACGUAUUUGCAUUGACGCAGAGAUGGAAGGAGAAGUCAGAGAUUAGAAGAGAGAUGAGCAAGAGAGGUAUUACAAAGGUGCCAGGCUGCAGCCUUGUUGAACUUGAUGGAGAGGUCCAUGAGUUCAUAGCAGGAGAUGAGUCGCAUCCGCAGUACAAGGAGAUAUACAGGAUGGUUGAGGAGAUGUCAAGAGAGCUAAGACGCAUUGGGCAUAUUGCAGCCACAUCAGAGGUCCUCCUUGACCUUGAUGAGGAGGACAAGGAGGGUGCGCUUCAGUGGCACAGUGAGAAGCUGGCAAUUGCAUUCGUGCUCCUGAGGACUCCUCCUGGAACACAGGUCCGGGUGGUAAAAAACCUACGGGUAUGCUCCGAUUGUCAUGCGGCAAUUAAGUGCAUAUCACAAGUUUAUAACCGGGAGAUCAUAGUACGUGAUAGGAGCCGUUUCCAUCGCUUUAAGGAUGGUUCCUGCUCCUGCAAGGAUUUCUGGUGA
This 1827-nucleotide ribosomal RNA is filed under the name Triticum aestivum (bread wheat). RNAcentral describes it as "partial small subunit ribosomal RNA". Lineage: Eukaryota; Viridiplantae; Streptophyta; Magnoliopsida; Poales; Poaceae. The record is from RNAcentral.